CUUCAGCGUCCUCGCGUGCAGAUCCCUGCGUGGUCCAGGGCCUGGCUUUUCCGCGGAGGGUGACGCUUCCCUCAGACCCUCAGGGGACAGUGGCGGGUUCCCCAGCCCAAGUGCCCCCAACUCCCAGGCGGACUGGAAGGGGCUCCUCGGGUCUCACUAUGUAGCCCAAGCUGACCUCGAACUCGUGGCGAUCCUCCUGCCUCAGCCUCCCGAGUACUGGGGCUACGGCCAUGCACCACCGCAUCCCGCUCCUCCCUCCAUUUUAAAUUCUAACCGGCCCCCUUUCAAACUCAUCCCACCAUCCACAACCCCUGCUUCCUAUGGCCUGGGUCCCUACUCCCCUCUACUCCGAAUAGCUCCCUGACCCCCAAUAACCUGGGCAAAGGAAAGGAGACUCCCAGAACUGCUUCAGAAAGUGGCAAGGGAGGGGCAGGUUUUGAGGGGGACUCAUAGCAAUGCCUUUUAC
This 466-nucleotide long non-coding RNA is filed under the name Heterocephalus glaber (naked mole-rat). RNAcentral describes it as "lncRNA (ENSHGLG00100050001.1)". The record is from RNAcentral. Lineage: Eukaryota; Metazoa; Chordata; Mammalia; Rodentia; Bathyergidae.